AACCAUAUACAUACUCAACAUAUAUUCAUAUACAACCCAUGCUUAACUUUAAAAGAACACACGUCAUUUCAUUACCGUAGGACCUCUACCUAAUAUAACCUUAAGACACACUUGAGUGAGACAAGAAGUGACCGCCCAUACAACCUCUUCAAGCACACUUAAGUGUUCCUCAAGAUUACCUUAGAUAAGGACAUUUCCU
This 199-nucleotide long non-coding RNA is filed under the name Solanum tuberosum (potato). RNAcentral describes it as "long non-coding RNA (STUB_LNC003637)". Lineage: Eukaryota; Viridiplantae; Streptophyta; Magnoliopsida; Solanales; Solanaceae. The record is from RNAcentral.